RNAcentral lists this unclassified non-coding RNA (315 nucleotides) under Hevea brasiliensis (rubber tree). The record is from RNAcentral. Lineage: Eukaryota; Viridiplantae; Streptophyta; Magnoliopsida; Malpighiales; Euphorbiaceae.
GGGAGUUAUAAUUAGUUACAUAAACCUACACUAUUGCUAGGCAUACACAUAAGAGCCACUAAAGAAAAAGUUGUCAACUUCUCCAUUUAUGGAACAGAGCUUGUGAAUAGCAACAGAUGGUUAGGAGGAGCUGUAUCUCCUAUGGUUAAUUCUCUUCUGAAAACAAAGCCGUAAUCGCUGGCUAAGAGCUUCCAACUUUUCAAACUUCUCGCGCUUGGAUUUUUUUGUGAUUUUUGCAGCUUUCUUUUUUCCAUCGUCCUUUGAUGAGUCCAGUGCAGUAUGUUGGUUAUCGCGAAGAGGGGUCACAAGCACAUC